This 253-nucleotide ribosomal RNA is filed under the name uncultured bacterium. RNAcentral's name for it is "partial 16S ribosomal RNA". It matches the Rfam family "Bacterial small subunit ribosomal RNA", at positions 524 to 776 of the family's 1533-position model. The record is from RNAcentral.
UACAGAGGGGGCAAGCGUUAUUCGGAAUUAUUGGGCGUAAAGGGCGCGUAGGCGGCCUGGCAAGUGGAAGGUGAAAUCCCUCGGCUUAACCGAGGAACUGCCCUCCAAACUGCUUGGCUUGAGACCGGGAGAGGUGAGUGGAAUUCCCAGUGUAGCGGUGAAAUGCGUAGAUAUUGGGAGGAACACCAGUGGCGAAGGCGGCAUCCUGGACCGACAUUGACGCUGAGGAGCGAAAGCUAGGGGGGCAAGCGGG